Molecule: ribosomal RNA, 117 nt
Organism: Danio rerio (zebrafish)
Lineage: Eukaryota; Metazoa; Chordata; Actinopteri; Cypriniformes; Danionidae
Source: Ensembl
AGCCAUAGCCAUAUCACCCUGCACCCCAAGGCCGGUUACUCACUAAAGCUAAGCUGGGCUGAGCCUGGUCAGUACCUACAUGGAAGACCACAUGGAAAAACUAGGUUGCUGUUGAAA